GCCACCUUAGCUCAGCGGUAGAGCAACGGUUUCGUAAACCGUAGGUCUCGGGUUCAAAUCCCGAAGGUGGCU
Molecule: transfer RNA, 72 nt
Filed under: Minicystis rosea
Lineage: Bacteria; Pseudomonadati; Myxococcota; Polyangiales; Polyangiaceae
Also listed under: 7 other names
Description: tRNA-Thr
Rfam family: tRNA
About the family: Transfer RNA (tRNA) molecules are approximately 80 nucleotides in length. Their secondary structure includes four short double-helical elements and three loops (D, anti-codon, and T loops).
Source: RNAcentral